AGAGUUUGAUCCUGGCUCAGAUUGAACGCUGGCGGCAUGCCUAACACAUGCAAGUCGAACGGUAACAGGCAGAAGCUUGCUUUUGUGCUGACGAGUGGCGGACGGGUGAGUAACGCAUAGGAAUCUGCCCAGUAGUGGGGGACAACUUGGGGAAACCCAAGCUAAUACCGCAUACGCCCUACGGGGGAAAGCAGGGGAUCUUCGGACCUUGCGCUAUUGGAUGAGCCUAUGUCUGAUUAGCUAGUUGGUGAGGUAAUGGCUCACCAAGGCGACGAUCAGUAGCUGGUCUGAGAGGAUGAUCAGCCACACUGGGACUGAGACACGGCCCAGACUCCUACGGGAGGCAGCAGUGGGGAAUAUUGGACAAUGGGGGCAACCCUGAUCCAGCAAUGCCGCGUGUGUGAAGAAGGCCUGCGGGUUGUAAAGCACUUUCAGUUGGGAAGAAAAGCUUCGUGUUAAUAGCGCGGAGUCUUGACAUUACCAUCAGAAGAAGCACCGGCUAACUCUGUGCCAGCAGCCGCGGUAAUACAGAGGGUGCGAGCGUUAAUCGGAAUUACUGGGCGUAAAGCGCGCGUAGGCGGUUUGGUCAGUCGGAUGUGAAAGCCCCGGGCUCAACCUGGGAAUGGCAUUCGAUACUGCCAGGCUAGAGUAUGGGAGAGGGAAGUGGAAUUUCCGGUGUAGCGGUGAAAUGCGUAGAUAUCGGAAAGAACACCAGUGGCGAAGGCGACUUCCUGGCCCAAUACUGACGCUGAGGUGCGAAAGCGUGGGGAGCGAACAGGAUUAGAUACCCUGGUAGUCCACGCCGUAAACGGUGUCAACUGGGUGUUGGGGAGCUUGACUCCUUAGUAUCGAAGCUAACGCGAUAAGUUGACCGCCUGGGGAGUACGGCCGCAAGGUUAAAACUCAAAGGAAUUGACGGGGGCCCGCACAAGCGGUGGAGCAUGUGGUUUAAUUCGAUGCAACGCGAAGAACCUUACCUGGCCUUGACAUCCUGUGAACUUUCUAGAGAUAGAUUGGUGCCUUCGGGAGCACAGUGACAGGUGCUGCAUGGCUGUCGUCAGCUCGUGUCGUGAGA
This 1075-nucleotide ribosomal RNA is filed under the name uncultured Gammaproteobacteria bacterium. RNAcentral's name for it is "bacterial SSU rRNA". It matches the Rfam family "Bacterial small subunit ribosomal RNA", at positions 8 to 1072 of the family's 1533-position model. The record is from RNAcentral. Lineage: Bacteria; Pseudomonadati; Pseudomonadota; Gammaproteobacteria.